CAUCUCUGUACCCCACACAUACAGAUAACUGUAAGGUCCCUCAUCUCUGUACCCCACACAUACAGAUAACUGUAAGGUCCCUCAUCUCUGUACCCCACACAUACAGAUAACUGUAAGGUCCCUCAUCUCUGUACCCCACACAUACAGAUAACUGUAAGGUCCCUCAUCUCUGUACCCCACACAUACAGAUAACUGUAAGGUCCCUCAUCUCUGUACCCCACACAUACAGAUAACUGUAAGGUCCCUCAUCUCUGUACCCCACACAUACAGAUAACUGUAAGGUCCCUCAUCUCUGUACCCCACACAUACAGAUAACUGUAAGGUCCCUCAUCUCUGUACCCCACACAUACAGAUAACUGUAAGGCCCUUCAGUCCAGCAGUGAAUUUCAAACACGGAUUCAACCACAAAGACCAGGGAGUUUUUCCAAUCCUCACAAAGAAGGUCACCUAUUGGUAGAUGGGUAAAAAAUAAAUAAAAAGCAGAUAUUGAAUAUCCCUUUGAGGUGAAGUUAUUCAUUACACUUUGGAUGGUGUAUCAAUACACCCAGUCACUACAGAGAUACAGGCGUCCUUCCUAACUCAGUUGCCGGAGAGGAAGGAAAGAACUCAGUGAUUUCACCAUGAGGUCAAUGGUGACUUUACAACAGGUAGAGGUCAAUGAUGACUUUACAACAGGUAGAGGUUAAUGGCUUUGAUAGGAGAAAACUGAGGAUGGAUAAGGUAAGUGGACAGGUGGGUCAGGACAGGUAAGUGUGUAGAUGGGCCAGGACAGGUAAGUGUGUAGAUGGGUCAGGACAGGUAGCAGGACAUGUAGGUGUGUAGAUGGGUCAGGACAGGUAGCAGGACAUGUAGGUGUGUAGAUGGGUCAGGACAGGUAAGUGUGUAGAUGGGUCAGGACAGGUAAGUGUGAAGAUGGGUCAGGACAGGUAAGUGGACAGAUGGGUCAGGACAGUGUAAGUGUGUAGAUGGGUCAGGACAGGUAAGUGUGUAGAUGGAUCAGGACAGGUAAGUGUGUAGAUGGGUCAGGACAGGUAAGUGUGUAGAUGGGUCAGGACAGGUAGGUGUGUAGAUGGGUCAGGACAGGUAGGUGUGUAGAUGGGUCAGGACAGGUAGGUGUACAGUCAGGACAGGUAAGAGAACAGCCAGGACAGGUAGGUGUGUAGAUGGGUCAGGACAGGUAGGUGUGUAGAUGGGUCAGGACAGGUAGGUGUGUAGAUGGGUCAGGACAGGUAGGUGUGUAGAUGGGUCAGGACAGGUAGGUGUGUAGAUGGGUCAGGACAGGUAAGUGUGUAGAUGGGUCAGGACAGGUAGGUGUGUAGAUGGGUCAGGACAGGUAGGUGUGUAGAUGGGUCAGGACAGGUAGGUGUGUAGAUGGGUCAGGACAGGUAGGUGUGUAGAUGGGUCAGGACAGGCAGGUGUGUAGAUGGGUCAGGACAGGUAGGUGUGUAGAUGGGUCAGGACAGGCAGGUGUGUAGAUGGGUCAGGACAGGUAGGUGUGUAGAUGGGUCAGGACAGGUAGGUGUGUAGAUGGGUCAGGACAGGUAGGUGUGUAGAUGGGUCAGGACAGGCAGGUGUGUAGAUGGGUCAGGACAGGUAGGUGUGUAGAUGGGUCAGGACAGGUAGGUGUGUAGAUGGGUCAGGACAGGUAGGUGUGUAGAUGGGUCAGGACAGGCAGGUGUGAAGAUGGGUCAGGACAGGUCCCUCUGGUCCCAGAUCUAAGAGACAUCACGUCCUGUUGUCCCAGAUCUAAGAGACAUCACGUCCUGUUGUCCCAGAUCUAAGAGACAUCACGUCCUGUUGUCCCAGAUCUAAGAGACAUCACGUCCUGUUGUCCCAGAUCUAAGAGACAUCACGUCCUGUUGUCCCAGAUCUAAGAGACAUCACGUCCUGUUGUCCCAGAUCUAAGAGACAUCACGUCCUGUUGUCCCAGAUCUAAGAGACAUCACGUCCUGUUGUCCCAGAUCUAAGAGACAUCACGUCCUGUUGUCCCAGAUCUAAGAGACAUCACGUCCUGUUGUCCCAGAUCUAAGAGACAUCACGUCCUGUUGUCCCAGAUCUAAGAGACAUCACGUCCUGUUGUCCCAGAUCUAAGAGACAUCACAUCCUGUUGUCCCAGAUCUAAGAGACAUCACGUCCUGUUGUCCCAGAUCUAAGAGACAUCACGUCCUGUUGUCCCAGAUCUAAGAGACAUCACAUCCUGUUGUCCCAGAUCUAAGAGACAUCACAUCCUGUUGUCCCAGAUCUAAGAGACAUCACGUCCUGUUGUCCCAGAUCUAAGAGACAUCACAUCCUGUUGUCCUCUGGUCCCAGAUCUAAGAGACAUCACGUCCUGUUGUCCCAGAUCUAAGAGACAUCACGUCCUGUUGUCCCAGAUCUAAGAGACAUCACGUCCUGUUGUCCCAGAUCUAAGAGACAGCCUAAAACCCCAAACAGCAAG
Molecule: long non-coding RNA, 2437 nt
Organism: Oncorhynchus keta (chum salmon)
Lineage: Eukaryota; Metazoa; Chordata; Actinopteri; Salmoniformes; Salmonidae
Exons: 5
Source: RefSeq, a predicted model, not a curated record